RNAcentral lists this ribosomal RNA (508 nucleotides) under uncultured Glomeromycotina. Its description in RNAcentral is "SSU rRNA". It matches the Rfam family "Eukaryotic small subunit ribosomal RNA", at positions 569 to 1078 of the family's 1831-position model. The record is from RNAcentral. Lineage: Eukaryota; Fungi; Glomeromycota.
AGCAGCCGCGGUAAUUCCAGCUCCAAUAGCGUAUAUUAAAGUUGUUGCAGUUAAAAAGCUCGUAGUUGAAUUUCGGGAUCAGCAGGUUGGUCGUGCCUCUGGUAUGCACUGGUUUCGCUGAUUCCUCCUUUCUGAAGAACUGUAAUGUCAUUAAUUUGGUGUUGCAGGGAAACAGGACUGUUACUUUGAAAAAAUUAGAGUGUUUAAAGCAGGCUAACGCUUGAAUACAUUAGCAUGGAAUAAUGAAAUAGGACGUUUGAUCCUAUUUUGUUGGUUUCUAGGAUUGACGUAAUGAUUAAUAGGGAUAGUUGGGGGCAUUAGUAUUCAAUUGUCAGAGGUGAAAUUCUUGGAUUUAUUGAAGACUAACUACUGCGGAAGCAUUUGCCAAGGAUGUUUUCAUUAAUCAAGAACGAAAGUUAGGGGAUCGAAGACGAUCAGAUACCGUCGUAGUCUUAACCAUAAACUAUGCCGACUAGGGAUCGGAUGAUGUUAAUUUUUUAAUGACUCA